AGCUUUAUGCUAUUUUAUAAAGUAACUCCUGCUCAGUGAAAAUAAACAGCCGCAGAAUUUAUAUACUGUGCUAAGGUAGCAUAAUCACUUGUCUUUUAAUUCAAGAAUAGAAUGAAUGGAAAAACGAAUUUUAACCUCUUUCAACUUUUCUCAAUAAAAUUACUAAAAAGUAAAAACACUUUUUCCAAAAAAAAAGACGAUAAGACCCUAAAGAACUUAACUAAAGUUAAGCUGGGGCGGCUAAUUUAAAAAAAUCUUAACACCAAUUUAAUAACUUUAUUUACUUCAAUGUUACCUUAGGGAUAACACCAUAAUUUAUUUUUAUAGCUCUUAUUUAAAAUUAAGAUUAUGACCUCGAUGUUGAAUUAAAAUUCUACUAAACG
RNAcentral lists this ribosomal RNA (383 nucleotides) under Dysdera esquiveli. RNAcentral describes it as "partial 16S ribosomal RNA". The record is from RNAcentral. Lineage: Eukaryota; Metazoa; Arthropoda; Arachnida; Araneae; Dysderidae.